GCGUUGGUGGUAUAUUGGUUAGCAUAGCUGCCUUCCAAGCAUUUGACCCGGGUUCGAUUCCCGGCUAAAGCA
Molecule: non-coding RNA, 72 nt
Organism: Nematostella vectensis (starlet sea anemone)
Lineage: Eukaryota; Metazoa; Cnidaria; Anthozoa; Actiniaria; Edwardsiidae
Source: Rfam